Molecule: ribosomal RNA, 253 nt
Filed under: uncultured bacterium
Lineage: Bacteria
Description: partial 16S ribosomal RNA
Rfam family: Bacterial small subunit ribosomal RNA
Source: RNAcentral
UACGGAGGGUGCAAGCAUUAAUCGGAUUUAUUGGGCGUAAAGGGCGCGUAGGCGGAAAUGAAAGUCAGAUGUGAAAUCCCUGGGCUCAACCCAGGAACUGCAUUUGAAACUCCCUUUCUUGAGUGUCGGAGAGGAAAGCGGAAUUCCUGGUGUAGAGGUGAAAUUCGUAGAUAUCAGGAGGAACACCGGUGGCGAAGGCGGCUUUCUGGACGACAACUGACGCUGAGACGCGAAAGCGUGGGGAGCAAACAGG